RNAcentral lists this small nuclear RNA (118 nucleotides) under Terrapene triunguis (Three-toed box turtle). RNAcentral's name for it is "Terrapene carolina triunguis (Three-toed box turtle) U2 spliceosomal RNA (ENSTMTG00000017055.1)". It matches the Rfam family "U2 spliceosomal RNA". From Rfam's summary of the family: U2 is a small nuclear RNA (snRNA) component of the spliceosome (involved in pre-mRNA splicing). Complementary binding between U2 snRNA (in an area lying towards the 5' end but 3' to hairpin I) and the branchpoint sequence (BPS) of the intron results the bulging out of an unpaired adenosine, on the BPS, which initiates a nucleophilic attack at the intronic 5' splice site, thus starting the first of two transesterification reactions that mediate splicing. Lineage: Eukaryota; Metazoa; Chordata; Testudines; Emydidae. The record is from Rfam by way of RNAcentral.
CUCGCUUCUCGGCUUUCUAUGAGCUAAGAUCAAGCGUAGUAUCUGUUCUUAUCAGUUUAAUAUCUGAUAUGUCCUUUAUUUGAGGACUGUAUAUUAAAUUAAUUUUAUCUCAGUUAAC